Molecule: long non-coding RNA, 204 nt
Organism: Syngnathus acus (greater pipefish)
Lineage: Eukaryota; Metazoa; Chordata; Actinopteri; Syngnathiformes; Syngnathidae
Exons: 2
Source: RefSeq, a predicted model, not a curated record
GACAAACACAAAAAUGACACCCAUGAUCUUGCUUUGUUUGUACAUUAAGCAAUCUUGUGCAAUUCACAUUUUCAAUGAUUCUGUCUGCAGUUUGAACAUUGCAGCACUUGACAUGUUGGAGUUCAUGAUGCCCCUCAUCAGUGAUUUAAAUCCACUUAUGAAAGAAAUAUAAUUACAUAACUUUUGCCAUUCUCUUUAAUUUGC